Molecule: long non-coding RNA, 1150 nt
Filed under: Drosophila melanogaster (fruit fly)
Lineage: Eukaryota; Metazoa; Arthropoda; Insecta; Diptera; Drosophilidae
Description: long non-coding RNA:CR43681 (Dmel_CR43681)
Source: RNAcentral
ACAGGCGGCGAGCGAAACGGCUUAAAGCCGGCCCAAGUGGCAACUGCCAGUGGCAAGUAACAAAGUGGAGAGAUGCCCGGCGGCCCAUGGAACCCAAAACCCGCAUCGGAACGCACCGCAUCGUAUGGAAUCGAAUCGCGUCAAGCCAAACCAAACCAAACCAACCCAGCCCAAGUGAUCCCGGGGCGAAUCGAACCCGAUCCCCUCGUGCUGCUUUAUGGCAUUGGGCGCCACCCAAUUAAAAGGCACUCGUCGACCAUUAAAAGCCGGGUCCGUGCGAGAAUCUGGAGAAUCGGAGGAACUGGGACAGGCAUCGUGAGCUGGGCCCAGUGCAACAUUUCGCCGUAUUUUUUGCAAUUAGAGAAUUAUUAAAGUGUCGUUAAACGGCCGGGGAGCCUGGCAUAUGAAUCAUGCCCACUUUUAUGACGACUGUCAGAGCUCGUGAGUAUUUAUGACCUCGCACAAUGGCCAUAAUACCGAUGGAGAAGGAAGGUGGAAGGCAUUUGGGGAAUGUUACUGCAUCCCAGCAGCGGGUGUUUUGAGUAUAUCGAAUACUCAGAGCUGCAAGGAAAGUGCGCUGGCAUCUGGGUAAUCAAAGGAGAUUACAGAAAGAGGAACUAACGGAAAAAUCGCUGUGAAAUCAAGCCAACAGACACAAAAGUCUUUGGACAAAUCGUGAUUUACGUUGGAGCCAAAAGAAAGUUGCACAAAUAUUGAAAUAUUAUAUCCAUAUUUAUUGGUACCGUCUCUGUGCUCCGGGGACAAAAAAAAAAAAUGAGAUUCGUAAUGCCAGCAAGGAAAUUGAAUCAAUGAAUUUAGUGCGACCAUCAGCAGAAAUUACUUUUAUGAUAAAAAAGAUACUAAAGUCCGGACCCAAAAUCCAUCCAUCCAAAUCCAACCACCCCCGAAGUUGAGAUGGCCCGGAAGUGCGGACCGGACAAAGAAGCUGGCUAUCUCAUAUCAUAAUAAGCGCUCAUCAAUUUCCAUUAAAUUUAAUAUGUCACUUGGCCAAAGGACAAUGCCCGGAACAGGACACUACUGUCCUUUUCCGCUCGUCAUCAUCGUAAAAAGAGACCGGACCAUAAAAAAGCUUUUUCAUAAUUUUGCUCGAAGUGCGCGAGGACGGAAAUAAAAUAUGAUAUGAGCUUGU